GAUGAAGAACAUAGCGAAAUGCGAUACGUAAUGUGAAUUGCAAAUUCAGUGAAUCAUCGAGUCUUUGAACGCACAUUGCGCCCCCUGGUAUUCCGGGGGGCAUGCCUGUCCGAGCGUCAUUGCUGCCCUCAAGCACGGCUUGUGUGUUGGGCCCCGUCCUCCGAUCCCGGGGGACGGGCCCGAAAGGCAGCGGCGGCACCGCGUCCGGUCCUCGAGCGUAUGGGGCUUUGUCACCCGCUCUGUAGGCCCGGCCGGCGCUUGCCGAUCAACCCAAAUUUUUAUCCAGGUUGACCUCGGAUCAGGUAGGGAUACCCGCUGAACUUAAGCAUAUCAAUAAGCGGAGGA
RNAcentral lists this unclassified non-coding RNA (345 nucleotides) under soil metagenome. RNAcentral describes it as "partial contains 5.8S ribosomal RNA, internal transcribed spacer 2, and large subunit ribosomal RNA". The stretch from base 1 to 119 matches the Rfam family "5.8S ribosomal RNA", at positions 35 to 154 of the family's 154-position model. The record is from RNAcentral.